AACGAACGCUGGCGGCAUGCUUAACACAUGCAAGUCGAACGAGAACUUCGGGUUUAGUGGCGCUCGGGUGCGUAACGCGUGGGAACCUGCCGUUUGGCUCGGAAUUAACUCUGGAAAGAGGUGCUGAUACUGGGUCAAGUACUCGGUACAACGGCGUGUCGCCUUUGGGUGGGCGGGAGUUGGAUUAGGUAGUUGGUAGGGUAAAAGCUUACCAAGGUGACGAUGCAUAGCUGGUCGGCUAGGAUGAUCAGCCAGACUGGGACUGAGACACGGCCCAGACCCCGACGCAGGGGAGCGGAAGAGAGUACUGUGCGAUGGGCGAUGGCCUGACCCAGCAAUGCCGCGGGAGUCAUGAAGCCCUUAGGGUUGUGAAGCUGUUUGACCCGAGGUGAGAAUGACAGUACCGGGUAAAGAAGCACCGGCUAACUCCGUG
This 433-nucleotide ribosomal RNA is filed under the name uncultured bacterium. RNAcentral's name for it is "partial 16S ribosomal RNA". It matches the Rfam family "Bacterial small subunit ribosomal RNA", at positions 29 to 507 of the family's 1533-position model. The record is from RNAcentral.